GCGAAGGUGGCGAAAUUGGUAGACGCACCAGGUUUAGGUCCUGGCGCCGCGAGGCGUAUGGGUUCGAGUCCCCUCCUUCGCACCA
This 85-nucleotide transfer RNA is filed under the name Candidatus Kinetoplastidibacterium blastocrithidiae TCC012E. Its description in RNAcentral is "tRNA-Leu (TAG) (tRNA-Leu-TAG-1-1)". It matches the Rfam family "tRNA". Rfam says of the family: Transfer RNA (tRNA) molecules are approximately 80 nucleotides in length. Their secondary structure includes four short double-helical elements and three loops (D, anti-codon, and T loops). Lineage: Bacteria; Pseudomonadati; Pseudomonadota; Betaproteobacteria. The record is from RNAcentral. RNAcentral also lists the same sequence under 1 other name.